GUCGUCAUUGGAGACAACUGUCGGAAUUGCCUUGUUAAAAAAUUAGGCUUGUUAAUAUUUCCCUCUCUUCUCUUUCUUUUUCCCUCUCUUCAUAUUUCCUCUUAAUAUAACCUGUCCUCUAAUAUUAAUCUCUCUCUCUCGACCAGCCCUUUCUCUGCGACUCACUCUCUCACCGAUCCGCCCUCCAAACGACUCCGACGCCGACGCCGACGCCUUUCUGAUGAAACGAUUCUCCCACUUCGCCUCUCGCCUCUCACUUUUCCUCGACCUUGUCCCUGUAUAUCUUCCUCAAUCUCUUGAAGACGCUGCGUCUUCAAUUUUUUUACUUUGUAUUUUGGGUUUCAGCAUCUUCAAUUUUUUUAAGGGCUGAUUAUCUUAAGGGUUGAUUGGUAGUGUAUAGUCACUCACAAAGUCUUUUUCUCUCUCUCACUCUCAUGGAUUCAGGUGCCUCUUAUUCCCCAUUCUCUUUGAGUAUAAUAUAGGUAUAGUUUUGUAUAUAGAAUAAAUAGAAUGUACGUUUUUACAUUUUACAUGUAAGAAUUGUUGUACUUUGUUCAUUUGGUCUAUUGAAAUCAUAUAUAAUCAUUUUCAAACUCUACAGUGAAUCAAUAAUGAUUUGUUAUGUGAAAUUAUGAAAUUGAAUAUGCUUUUGAAGAGCAGAAGUUCCAAAACAGACCAGUAAGUAUUGUAAUUAUGGUGUGUUAUUUUGACAUUUUGGGUUAUCUUUGCUGAAUCACUUCUUUUUUAGAAUAAUUUAGGUGAUGGCUAAAGUUAAUUUAUUUAUCUUGUUUAAAUUAUAAUUUAAUGGCUAGCUUGAGAAAAAUAAUUAUAUAAUGUAGAGAAUAUAUUUUGUGUAUAUUUUGUACCUAGUUGUUAUUUAAUUCUUGACUAUUCUCAAUUACAAACAACCCCUUAGAAUUCUUAUGUGGAUAUCUUGAUUGUGUACAUGCAGUCAGUAAGUGAUCUUCACAAUAAACAUAUGGAUAUGAUACGAACAUAUAUGGAAUCCUCACAGUCCGAAACAAAUACAAUCAAUCUGAAAGAUAUCAGACAAGGGAUUGGUAACCCAGUUGGCGCUAACCACCUUCCCUUAGUUCAGAGCAGUUGAUUUCACAACCAACUGGUUCGCAAAUGUUGCAGCAAAUGACACGAAACUAAUCAAUAUACCUCGUUAGAUCAUACUUUUUUUAGUCUUCUUGCUGAUUGAACACAAGGCCUGUACCUCGCGGUAAGUAUCAUCUUUAUGAGGUAGUCGAGUAGUUAACAAAUGCAUGCCGUCUUUAAAUAUGAACAAGGCUGCAGUAACGUUGUACCCAAAAUAAAAUAUUUUUCAUUUUGUUCCAGUCUCUAGUAGCACUCGGCUGUUAUGUGGUCUUGGUUCAGGUUACUUUUAUGGGCUCUGGAAGUUCCUUGUGAUUGUUUAGCAUACUUCAUUUUUUAACAACUGGAAAUUUGGUUGACAAAAAAGGACCUUAUUCUAACCUCUUUACCUGGGCACUGGUUUGAAACUAGUUUCAUCGAGCAAUGAAAAAAUGUAUGACAUUGUCUCUGAAACAUUGUUCAUUUCAUGUUCAUAUUAAGGUGGUUAGACACACAAUGGUGGCAUAUGUAAUUGAAUAUGAAAUUGAAUAUGCUUUUGAUGUUUCGUUGGAAACCAUGUUUAGGGUUCAAUCUGUGGUAAUAUGAUAUUAUUGUUGUAGUUGGCAUAUGUAAUGUUUGAUAAAAUUACUGUGUGAAUAAUUGGUAUGUAAUUUGAAUAAUUGCUUGAUAGUUUGGUUGUGAUACAUGGACGAAGGCACUUGGUAAAGAUUAUCAAACUCAUUUAUCUACUUUAUAGUUAUCAAGAUGAUUUAUAAUUACAUAUUGAUAUGCUUUAUGGAUCAUUAGAGAGUUGUGUUAUGUACUGUUGAUGCUCAUUUUUUAUUUGUCUGACUAAUAUCCCAUGUUUGUGAAUUAAUCAAUUUAUCUCAGUUGCUGAUUUUGAUCACAACUUUCCAUGUUUCUCACUACUGGAAGCAUGUUCUAUUUUGGAUAUACAAUGUCUUUUCUAUAAUUGUUAUUGCAAUAUCAUUUUUUCUUUCAAUAAUACAUGUUUUGGUUGAUUUUAGAUGCUUAAGUUAUCUGAUGGAUUUGUUUAGAAUUGCUUACACUCAAUUAUAUUUAGCAAUGCAACUUUUCUUUAAGUUUACUACCAUCUUGAAGGAUCUCAGUUGUUUUGUAACAUUGUUUUUGGCUUUAUGUUUAGAAUUUCUUAGACUCAAUUGUUGAAUAUUUCCAUUUUCUUUGUAAAAUCAAUCAAGCUUUGUAAAUUUCCAUCUUAUUGCUCCACUGGGUUGGAUUCCUGAAUAUUUUGCAAGUGAGAUCUUCUAUGAUAAGAAAAGUUGUAAAAGUGCAUAUAUGUAUAUGUGGAAGAGAUUGCUUACUUGAAUUUUAGCAGAACCAUCAUCAUCAGCAUAAUUCCCAUUACUUUCUUUCAUCAUCAGCAUAAUUUCCCAUUACUUGAAGAGAUUGCUUCACAUUGCUGUAAAUGCAUCUCAAUCAAUGUUGAUUAAUCUUCGUGAGUAAUAAUUUCUGUGCUUGCAAUAUGUGACUGAGAGAGUUGGUCUCUUUGGCUACUUCAUGUAAACUAUACACCUAUUGCUUUAGAACAAUUACGAGGAACAUUACAUUGGCUCUUAAAUUUCAACUUGCAUGAAUGGUGCAAUUAUUUGGCAUUCCAAAUAAAAAAAAAAAGACCAGUAAAUCAAUAUAUGUGAGAAUAUUUCCAAGUAAUUAUUCUGCGAACCUUCUUUUACUCUAUAAGCUACCAAGCUAAGUAAGAUGAUAUAUUUAUAUAAUAGCAACAAAACAAUAAUAAUGGUAAUAAUAUAUACAUAUAUAAUAAAGCUAUGCUUGGUUUUGCUUCCUUGACAAUGAAGACGAAAAACUAUAGAUAGAGGAGAGGAGGACAAAAUUAAGCAGAAAGAAACGCAAGAAGCAAUGCUAUCAAAACUUGUUCACUUCUCCUAGCACAUUUUGUCCAUGUCUCCCCCAUCUUAGUUGAUAUGGUUUAAGUGCAUGGCUCUUUGGGAUAAAACUCUUGAGCUCAGAUUUUUGCUUCUGAAAACAAUCUAAAGUUCAAAUAGAUCAUCUCAGUGAGGAGAUGGCACAGCGAGGGAAACUUGACAUCCGCUUGAUGUUCCAGGAAGGGAGAUUUAGCAAGGGUCCCCUAGAUUAGAAACUUUGGCCUACGGCAAAGAAAACGCCUCCCUUGGCCGCGACCGCUUCCAAAUCCCCAGCCAAGGGGAAAGAUUCGGGCUUGAGAGCUCUGCUCCCUUCGGCCCCGGAGAAGAGGGGUCCGGCAACACUCCAUCCUCGCUUUCCCCCAGCUCCUGCUCGGGACCAGGCAGCAUCGGUAGUCCCUACCGCCACUAUUCACAUCCCCGUCAACACCCAGGAUCUGGAGCUAAUUCCAUACACUUUUCGGGGUGCCGUCUAUGAGACGGCGAACUACGCGGUGGAACACUUUUAUAAGGCCAAGCCCAACGACCUGAGGGCGAUUGAGGAGAGGAGCCCGGAGAACGUCAUGGAAUCUGCCUUGGGGAUGAACUUUGCAGCAGUCCUGGCUCAACAUCGCAGCAUAUCUCGGGCCAGGGCUAGGAAUUAUGAACUCAAGGCCGAGCUCCAAAUUGCUCAGGCCGCCCUGACUACGGCCCAAACUGCUCUCGCUGCCUCUCAACAAAGUGAACAAGGUGCCAAGGCUACCUUGGCGGCGGCCCAAGCAGGUGAACAGACGGCAAAGGCUGCCUUAACCAUGGCACAAGAGGGCGAGCAGGUAGCAUAGGCUACCUCGGCAGCCCUUCAGGCCAAGCUCGAGGGGGCCAAGGCCAAACAGUUGGAGGUCGAGGCGGCUAUUCAGGAGGAGAAGAAGGGAUCGACAUCCUCCAUGGAGAGCAUGCUGUACCACUGUUGGGCCUUUAAUCAGGAGGGCAACUUCUCCUUCAUGGCCUCCAAAGUGUGGGGGCACUACCUCGAGAAGUUCAACGCUUGGCUAAAACAAGAGCUGCAGUCUGAGACCAGGGAGGCCUCUAUUGCUGGCGAGUAGGAGAUCGAGGAGGUGACGUCCUCGGAGCAGCCUGGAGGGUCUUAGUUUUUAUUUGCCCUUUUUUUAUGUUGUAUAUUUUUCUUUUGUAAAUGUUAAUCACGAGGUUAUUCUCCUCCAGACAAUUUAUAUAUAUUAUUUUCAGUUUAUCUAAGUUUUAUUUAUUCCUUGAUCUCUUUCUCAUGCCUUAUGAUGUGCACGUUUAAAGCCUUAGGAAAUGACCCUUAGAUCGAGAUCGAUAUUCCUGGUCGUAACCAAAAAGACGAUUUAUAUCUUACCUGUUAAGUAUCAGGCCCUGGACCCGGUUGUAUCCGGGUUUUUUUUUUUAAAUAAAGCCCUAUUUCGUGUUAGUUUUAUCGAUGCUUCGCUUUUUCUUUAGAAAAAACAUUGUUAAUCAAUUUAACCAACUUCUAAGUUUCGGAACUUGGUUGUGCCGAGGAUAUUUAAUUAAAAACUUAGUUCGCAUUAGUUUUAUUGACACAUCGCAUUUUUUAGAAAAACACUGGUUAAUCAAUUUAACCAACUUCUAAGUUUCGGAACCUGGUCGUGCCUAGGAUAUUUAAUUAAAAACUUACUUCGCAUUAGUUUUAUUGACACAUCGCAUUUUUUAGAAAAACACUGGUUAAUCAAUUUAAGCAACUUCUAAGUUUCGGAACUUGGUCGUGUCCAUGAUAUUUAAUUAAAAACUUAGUUCGCGUUAGUUUUAUUGUCACCUUGCAUUUUUUUUAGAAAAACACUGGUUAAUCAAUUAACCAACUUCUAAGUUUCGGAACCUGGUCGUGUCUAGGAUAUUUAAUUAAAAACUCAGUUCACGUUAGUUUUAUUGACACCUCGCGUUUUUUAGAAAAACACUGGCUAAUCAAUUUAACCAACUUCUAAGUUUCGAAACCUGGUCGUGUCCAGGAUAUUUAAUUAAAAACUUAGUUCGCAUUAGUUUUAUUGACACCUCGCAUUUUUUAGAAAAACAUUGGUUAAUCAAUUUAACCAACUUCUAAGUUUCGGGACCUGGUCCUCAGGUUGUCUACCCCCAAGUAAUCAGGAAGUGGACUUUCUGGGUUACUUUGAACUAACAUGCAGAUGAAAUCGUACAAAGACACAAAUAUACCAUAAACGUUUUUUUUUUAUAUAUUUCUAUAAUUAAAUGGCUUUUAUAUUCGAGCCUUACAUAGACAGGUGGCUUGAUCACUGAUAAUACUUUUUCAAAUGCAUAGCAUUCCAGGUCUGUGGUACCGUUUCUCCACUAAGUCGGGCCAAUUUAAAAGUACCUUCAUGUAUGAUUUCCACGAUCUGAUAGGGCCCUUCCUAGCUCGAGCCUAAGGCACCAUCUUGGGGGUCCUUGCCUGCUAAAAGUUGUAAUGCCCUGGAUAGCCAAGAUCGUUACACUGUGUACUUAUAAAGCUACAGGACUUGCUAACCAAGUCAUUAAUUUGAAAACGUGUCACUAAACAUGUAAAAGCUAAGGUUAAAAAGGUUUUGGUCUCAAAAGACUCACUUCAUAUAUUUAAACUGUAGUAAACAUGGGAUCCCAUAUGAAAACAAAGUUAGAACAAGUUUACAGACUCCUGAAAAUACAUGAAUAUCCUCUAGCCAUACUAAGGCAAAACAGACAGUCCUUAGGUUCCAUGUCCUUGCUUAGAUCUCAACCGUGGCGGUCGAGCACCUGGCUAUGCACAUUCUGCUCGCUGAGCUCUCCAAUCAGGGCUGAUCUAAUUUUCCCUUGCCUUUACCUGCACCACGUAGCACCCGUGAGCCAAGGCCCAGCAAGAAAACAUCAUAAACAACUUAAACAAUAAUAACAGACAAAUAGUUCAAUAUGCAUGUAUUCCCAUCAGAUAAUCCUCAACAGGUAUUCAGCAUAUACAAUCCAAUUCAAGAUACAUUCUACCACAUAUAAUACUCAUAUCACAUAAUAUUCAGGGCUGACGACUUAGGCCGCACCCUCUGUUUAACCCACUGACUCCGGCCCGCUUAAACCGAGCUCAGUGCAUAAUAAGUUGUCCUCAGCUACCAGUGGUCGAGCCGCGCCCUGUGCGCUAGUGUAACCCUUGGAAACCUUAGGCCAUUGUUUCACCAAAUGGCUUGCAUGGAAUAAUACCAUCUUUUCAAGCAUUUACAAUAGGGAGCCCUUAGUCCUGUCACAUAUAUUCAACCAGGUGCAGUUUUCUUACCUUUAGUCUACGCAGUUAUUGAAUUACGAGCAACACCUCUCAAGCACGAUCCGUUCCCGAGCCUAAGUCUUUAUCACCUAGUCACAACCAAAGUAUAGGGUUCCAUUAAUACUCCAAUAUAGGUUUACUCCCGAGAUUCCAAAUUCCACCAAGCACGGUGGUGAAACCAAACCCGAGCACACUAGACCACCUUCCCGUGCCUAAAACCCUCAAAAACUUAUGUGUGCAACCGAGGGCUGCGGCCCCUGAAGCCUAGCCGUGGCCCUUCCCCAAAAUAGAGCCAACACCCACGCUGAACCACACACGCACCGCGACCCUUGCCUUGGGCGCCGCAGCGCUCUCCCUUGGCCGAGCCUUCUUGGCUCUUUUGCAUGCUAGGGCCGCAGUGCUCUAGAACAGAGCCGCGACCCUCCCCUUCGAACCCAGAAUUUACACCAUUUCUAAGUCUGAAACCUCACCUAAAACCACCCCAAAGUUCCCCAACUCCUAACCAAUUAAUCCCAACUCGUUUAGCAUGAUCUAAACAACAUAAUUCCACAGAAAACACAGCCUACCACACACUAAUCUUCUCUUUUCAAUUUCUGAAACUUCAAGAGUUAAAACUACUUAAACCAGCCAUUCAAACCCAAUUUAAGACCUCUAAACCAUGAGUUGAAGUUUACCUUUGCUGUUGAAUCACUUCACCAAGCCAUAGCCAAGCUAAGUUCCCAAAUUUCCUUCUUAAUUCUGCCUUAGAACAUCAAAACCAUAUUUGUUUCAACACUUCACCUAAACCCAGCUACAACUCAGAAUUCAGCCACAUAAAAGAAGAUCAGAUGCUUACCUUAAUCCCUAUUUUAGUUCUUGAUUUACUCUUGAGCUAAAUCUCCUAGUCCCCACCACCAAUCUUAGAAAUUCCAGCUUGUUCCCCUGUUUUCUGUGUUUUCUUUCCUUUGUUUUCCCUUGAGCGUGAGAGAGAGCUGAGACAAGGGUGUUUAGUCGGUUUGUGUUUUUCUUCUAAAAGCUUCCUUAUGUCUAACUUACCUGUUAAGUUAAUCCCGAGGCUCGGGGUGCCGAAAACAUCCCCGAGGCCAAAAUGGUAAAAUCCCCCAAUAUUCCCGCCUAGACAUCCUAACCUCAAAAAUAUCUCUAUAUAUUUAUUUCCAUGACUCGAUAAUGCAAAUCGCUACCCGCUAUCUAAAAAGUACCCCCGACUUAUCCAAAGUCAUAUCUUAAGCCCCGUUGUGACUUUUCCCGCUAUCUGACCCUAGAAUCGUCUUGAGUUGUGCUCAGCGAACCUGUCCACAUAAUAAUGUGGUUCUCACAUAUAUCACAUAUUUAUUUCAUAUCACAUUACCACAUAAUACCAUCAAUUAUCAUAUAAACUUUAAUAAACAUAUAAUUACUCAUUUAAUCACAAUUAUUCCAUUAAUGCCCUCCUGGCACACUAAUCAAGGCCCUUAAACCUUAUUAGUGAUUUUGGGUCGUUACAAAAAUACCCUUUGGACUACCAACAAAAGACAUGCUUUUUGACAUUUGAAUUAAAAUAACGUGUGAUUUUUGCUGAUAAUGUGGGAGCUGUAGCUAUGAAUCUUCUCAUUUUUCAUCAAUUAGGUCAAGGGAUGCACUGAGUAGUUCUUCGUUCCACUUUGGGCUAAAGGUCUGGAGCCUAUGUGUGGCUACCUUUGUUUCGACAGGGAGGACGGCCUCACUUCCGAAAGUUAAGGAGAAAGGGGUAUGCCCUGUGGAAGUUCAGUGGGAGGUCCGGUAAGCCCACUGCAUCUGCGGGAGCUUGUCGGGCCAUCCUCCCUUGGCCUCGUCCAAUCUCCUCUUAAGGUUUGCUUUGAGGGUUUUAUUUACAGCCUCGACCUGCCCAUUGGCCUGCGGGUAGGCCACCGAGGAGAAUCUUUUGAUUACGCGUGCCUUUCACAAAACUCAGUGAAGAGAUUGCUAUCGAACUGUGUCCCAUUGUCUGACACAAUCUUUCUUGGCAAUUUAAAUCGGUAAACAAUGUUCUUGACCAUGAAGUCGAUGACUCUUUUUGCAGUGAUUAUAGCCAGGGGCUCCACCUCUGCCCAUUUUGUAAAAUAAUCGAUGGCCACUACUGCAUAGCGAACUCCUCCCUUCCCCAUGGGCAGGGCUCCAAUUAAAUCGAUUCCCCAUACCGCGAAUGGCUAGGGGGAUGAUAUCAAUUUUAGCUCGACUGGAGGAGCUCGGGCGAUGGUGGCAAACUGCUGGCACUUAUCACACUUUUGGACAUAGAAGAUGGAGUCUUUUGGUAACGUGGGCCAAAGAUACCACUGCCGUAAUGUUUUCAAGGCCAGGUUUUGCCCCCUGCAUGAUCCCCACAAAAGCGUUCAUGUACCUCAUGCAAAAUAGUUUUGGCUUCCUCUAGCAAAACACACCGUAGUAGAGAUAAGGAGUGGCCACGUCGGUACAGCGUCCCGUCUAUGAUUGUGUACCUUGGAGCUUGAUAGAGUACUCUCCUCGCGUCUUUCCGCUCGCCAGGCAAUUUUCCUGUCGUAAGAUACUCUAUUAUGGGAGUCAUCCAGGUCGGUCUGAUAUUGAUCAUCUCAAUCUCCAUCGUGCUUUCUGCCAUGCUUGGACUUUCUAAGUAUUCCACUGAUACUAUGCUCAGAGUCUCGGCUUCUUUGGAGGUAGUGAGUCUAGCCAGAGCGUCGACAUUGGCGUUCUGCUCGCGAUGGAUCUGCUUGACUAGGCUAUACUCAAACUCUGAUAGCUCCUUCUUGACCUUGGUCAGGUAAGUUGCCAUUUGGGUACCUCGGGCUUGAUAUUCCCCAGACACUUGGUUUACCGUGAGCUGGGAAUCGCUGUAGAAGUGGACGGCCCUGGCCUUCAGCUCCUUCGCCACUCUAAGCCCGGCCAAUAGGGCUUCGUAUUCAGCUUCAUUGUUGGAUGCCACGAACUAGAACCGCAGCGCGGAGUGGAAACGAUGUCUUCUGGGGAUAUUAGGAUUAUCCUAGCUCCAGACACGUUCUCAUUAGAUGACCCAUCUAUGAAGAUUCUCCAUAAUUCCCGCACUGGUUCUCUCAAGGGCUCUUUCUGGAAUCUAUUGCAUUCAGCCAUGAAAUUAUCCAAGGCUUGGCUUUUUAUCAUAGUUCAGGGUAUAUACAGUAUCUUGAACUGGCUAAGCUCGACCGCCCAUUUCAACAAACGUCCCGAUGUCUCAGGUUUCUGUAGCACCUGCCUUAAAGGCUGAUCGGUCAUGACGUGGAUUGAAUGGGAUUGGAAAUAUGGCCUAAGCUUCCGGGAAGCCAUAAUAAGGCAGAACGCCAUCUUUUCCAUUAGAGGAUAUCGAGAUUCUACUCCAAGAAGUCUCUUGCUUAUAUAAUAUACUACCUUUUGAACUCGGUUCACCUCCCGGACCAACACGGCACUGGCCGCAUUUUCAGUCACGGCUAAAUAGAGGAAAAGGUGCUCAACUGUCGUUGGUUUAGAUAACACUGGUUGCUCGGCCAAAUGUGUCUUCAGGUUGAUGAAAGCCUGCUCGCACUCCUUAGUCCACUCGAACUUUUUGUUCCCCCGAAGCAGGUUGUAGAAUGGCAAACACUUAUCGGUGGAUUUAGAAAUAAACCGAUUGAGGGCCGCCACCCUUCCUGUAAGACUCUGGACAUCUUUAUGCGACCUGGGCGAAGGCAUCUCUAGCAGCGAUCCCACUGGUGUUGACUAUGAAUCCUAGGAAUUUUCAUGACGCCACUCCGAAAGUACAUUUCUGGGGGUUUAGCCUCAUAUUAUACUUCCUUAGAAUUCCAAAACAUUUCGUCAGAUCGGAGACAUGGUUAUCGGCAGUCUUUGACUUGACUAGCAUAUCAUCAACAUAUACUUUAAUGUUUUUUCUGAUCUAACCAGCGAACAUUCUGUUGACCAACCUCUGGUAGGUCGCCCCAGCAUUUUUCAGCCCGAAGGGCAUGACUUUAUAGCAGUACACGGUUGGAUUCAUGAAGCUAGUAUGUUCUUGGUUCGUGGGGUUCAUGGUGAUCUGGUUAUAUCUAGAGUACGCAUCCAUGAAGGACAUGAGCUCAUGCCUUGCAGUGGCAUCCACCAACUGGUCAAUCCUCGGCAAAGGGAAGUAAUCCUUGGGACAAGCUUUUUUUAGAUCGGAGAAAUCGAUGCAGGUCUGACAUUUUCCAUUUGGCUUUGGGACCAGGACAGGAUUGGCGACCUAGGUAGGAUAUUUAGCCUCGUGAAUAUAGCCGCACUUCAAAAGCGUAGCUACUUCUUCCUCCAGUGCCUCAGCUUGGGUCGUACCUAGUCGCCUCUGUUUCUGGGAUUUCGCAGGCAUGCUUUUGUCCAAAUUUAGCGUAUGCAUGAUGACACUUGGGCUGAUUCCUAUCAUGUCUUCAUGGGACCAAGCGAAAACAUCUAGAUUUUCUUUUAAAAAAGUUACCAGCUCUGCCUUUCUUUCAGGGUCAAGAUUUUUCCCGAGCUUAGCGACCCUCGAAGCAUCUUUGGGAUCAAUGUUUACUUCUUCGAGGUCUUCAAUAUCCUGGAGCUCGGAUCUGUCUUCACCCAUUCGGGAAUCAAUAUCAUCACUCGGGGUGGCUCCCCUGCAAGUGACUGGCUGAGGUUCUUCCAUCCUAGGAUUAUCUCUGACUUCCUGGGAUUCCUCUCCUCGAUCCUGCACGGCCAUCGUCUGCUGCCCAGGUUGUCCCACUAGCACGACCUGAGUGGCGUCCACCACACUAGCUAAGAACCCCAUGCAUCCCCCCUACAAUAGGUCUCUAGCUCUAAGUACAUAUAUCAUAGGUAUAUGAGGUCCAUGCAUAGUUCCAACGAAUACAAAGGGGUCCUCACCCUCAAGUUCAAAGGUUACCAUCUUCUUCUUACAAUCUAUCGUUGCCCCAUACUUCUCUAGCAAGUCCAUACCCAUAAUUAUAUAAAAAUCAGUCAUAACCAACUCUACCAAGUCAACUGACAACUCCCUGCCAUCCAUUGUCACUAGUAGUGAUCUAACCCAUCUCCUAGAAAUUACUAACUCCCCAGUAGGUAGCAUAGUACCAAACCCCACAGGAUAAAAGUCACAUGGUCUGCAUAGUUAAUCUAUAAUCCUACUAGCAACAAAUGAGUGUGUAGCACCCGAAUCAAUCGAAACAGUAUAGAGGGUCCCACUACUAGAAAGUUGUUCUAUAACAACCAAGGGACUAGCCUCAACCUUUGCCUGGGUCAAGGUGAACACCCAAGCUGACGUCAGGCUGUCCACCUUCUUGGGCUCUUCCUUUCUGGAUUUCGGACAAUCCUUCUUCAAGUGUCCCACACUCUCGAAGACAAAGUAGGCCUUCACUCGACGUUCCCCAAUAUGGCGCCUCCUCCAUCAAGUACACUCUUGGAAUGCCUUUAAGGUCUCAUUGCCACCCUGGCGGCCUAUCUGUAUGCCCCGUUGCCUCCUAUGCUGGCUCUGGAGCUAAAACUGUAUCUGGAGUCUUUCUGUUUUGCUCCCUAGGGCCUCCGCCCAUACCAAAGCCUGCAAAUGGAGGUGCAUGCCUCUUAAAAUCCCUUCUAGUUGUAUUCUCACGCCAGAUCUUAUUCUUAGAUCUCUCAGCUGUAAGUGCCUUCUCCACAUCCUAUGCGUAGGUAGUCACCCCUGGCAUAGUAGUACUAUGAACAUCGUGAACAUCAAGGCAUAAUCUGUCACUGUCAUGUUUCACUGAAGUAACUCAGUGAACUCUUCAACCUUCGCUACUUUAACUGCGUCAUUGUAGUAUUUCUCGUUGAAUAGAGUUCCGAAUUCUUCCCAUUCCAUAGUAUUCGCUGCUCUAGUCUAGGAUACCAUCUCCCACCAUAUUCGGGCAUCCUCCCGAAACAUGUAAGUGGCGCAUGACAUUCUCUCAUUACCACCUACCCUCAUGAAAUCCAUGAUGGUGGUUAUCUUAGUCAUCCAUUGCUUAGCCUUCAAUGGGUCUGAUCUACCCUAAAAAACUGGAGGGUGUUGUUUCCUAAACCUUUCAUACAUGGGUUCCCAUCUAUCUCCCCUACCUAGGGAUAUACUACCGUUUCGCACCUCCGGCUGUGACACUGUUAUUACUGCGGGCUAUAGGUUCCCUGUUGGAACCUGUUGCUGUCUCAAGAGGCGAAUCUCAUAUUCUUGCCUCUGUUACUUGGAUUGCAUAUCAGCAAACACUUGUUGCCAGUUUUUGUGAGCUAGCGGCGUGGCCUGGCCUUGGUCAUUCUCUUCUCUGGCCUGUGUCUCCUAGCCAUCCAACCUCUCUGACCUUCGAGGAAGCAUACUGAUAACUAUUCAACUCUGUAGUGAUCAAAUCGACCGUUAGGUAAGUAAUAACUAUACCUCUUGCCGCCUGACAGUACAAGCCCGAACAAACAAAUAGAUGUAAUGCUAAUAAGCAUUCCAACACAUAAUAUACUCAAUCAUUGUGCUAAUAAGCACUUCCUGAUAUUCAUCAGCAAAUACCAAUGCUAAUAAUCAUUUCUGGCAUUCAUAAGCAAUUAAUGAUGCAAACAACCAUAUUCAAGCAUUUAUACAUGUAUAACAAUGCUAAUCAACAUGUUCUUUAUCAUUCAUGUGACAGUCAAGGGCCAGGUCAUAUAAGAAUAUCUCAUGCUCCCUAAACAGACAUGCAGAUAAGGCAUUUAUAUCCUAUUUAAGUAGUUAAACACAUAAUCACAUAAAUAGUUACCGAACCCUGAGUCGAGUUUGUCUAUAGUGGCGAGUGUACAUGCCCGACCAGUCUUCAGGAACCCUUAAACCUUGGCAUCCUUGAUACGAGAUUGUAACGUCCUCCUAAUCCAUGAUUGUUAACAUGUGUACUUUAAAUAGUGUCGGACUUGCUAAUCAAGUCAUUUUGGUUAUAAAUGUGUAACUAAGGUUAACGUCAAGGGUUAGGGUUAACAAUUUUGGUCAAAAGAAACGUUAACUUUUCAUUUGAAAGUUUUAUGCAUACAUUGGAUUCCAAAACAUUACAAAUAGAUGUUUAAAAGGGUAUAUACAAAUCAAAAGUUACAACCAGCUGGCCUAAGCGGCAAAAUAAGAGAUACAAUCCUAGUUCCUAUGAGAUAUCCUCGGCCGUGGUGGACAAGCAACCGUAUAUGUACACGCCGCCAUCGAAGCUCUCCAACCCAUGGCUGGUCUAGCUUUCCUUUUCCCUUACCUGCACCACAUAGCACCUGUGAGCCAAGGCUCAGCAAGAAACUUAAACAUGUGCAUUGAAAGUAAAUACAUAUUCCAAAUACAUAUCUAGCAUGUCCAGCAUUAAUAACCAACUAAUGCAUGCAUACGAUUACAAAUAAAUGAUGUUUUGAUCAUUCUGGGGCCUGCUACCCUGAAUUGUUGACCAUAGAGUUAACCAGGGGCCUUGUGCCCUAGCUAUGUGACCAUAGAGUCACCUGGGGCCCUUUCCCUUAGCUCUGAGUAACUAGCCAUAGAACUGCCCAAGCACUUUGUUUUCCAAUGACCAUAGGGUCGGCCAACAUAAUAGUACGUUCCUGAAUGGGCCUAAGCCUCUCGACCAGCGCACAACGCGCUAUUGCUGCCCUUGACUAAUAAUAAGUCAAGGCUUUAAUCAAACAUUCAGAUAAAUAGACAAUCAGAUAUAGAUACAGAUAAGCAUACUUCAAACAAUACAAGUAUACAUACAUAUAAAUCAUGGUAUCUUAACUAAUUAAACACAAACACAGUAAUAACAAUGUUCCUUAACGGGGUCGAGCCCUACCUAUGCAUACCAGACAAUCAUUCAUUAAAUAGUUAACCACGUACAAAGCAUUCAAGCAUAUCCUAAUUCACAUUCAUUCUCAAGGGCUGAGCCCUAUUCAUCAUUACAAUCAACAAUGGGGCCAAGCCCUAAUAAUAUAAAUCACAUAUUGGAUGCAGUUUUCUUACCUUAGGUCCGAGUGCAAAGUGUAUUAAGAACGACCCUUAAGUACGAUCCUGGUUUUGAAACCCUAGCGAUAACCUAGAUACAACAAAUAGGGAAUCUCAUCAAAACGAGCGAAUAAAUGAUUCUGUAUUGAGUCCUAGCCUCUGGGACAUCGAAUUCUACUAAACCGGGUAGUAGGAUCGAUCCUGAGCCCUUAGAUUUGAGUUCGCACACUCAAAAACUCUCCCGGGGCUCAAUACCCUUAAGCACCGUAACUCAAAACAAAGGAGCCACUGCUCGCCCCAAGUUAGAGAGCCCAAUCUCUCCCCUGCUUCAACAUGCACUGCGGCACUCCCUAGUAGACAUGGCUGCUCAAAUGGCCCGAAGACACCUCCUUCUCCCAACACUCAAGAGAGUCCUGGCGCCCCAAGAACAGGGUCGCGGCUCGACAUGAUAACCCUAUGUUUUCUCCAUUUACCUCAAGCCCAAUCCCUAAAAAAACCUAUCCUAACAUAGCUAAAACUCAAAAGUAAAGCCCUCAUUCAAUUCAAUAGCUCCCAUCAAAACCCAAGUAAAAUUUUGGCCAAAAUCCCUUCAAAUCCCAAAAUCAGAGCUGAGUUUUCUAAACUCCAAAAAUUCAACUAAAAACCAGUAAACACAGAGAUUUAGGGUUAGAAAUCAUUACCUUUGUUGCCCCAAUCGAUGGUGAGUCUUUCGCCAAGCAAUCCCAAGCGUAAACUAGCCUUGAUUCUCCUUAAACAGUAAGAAUUCCCAAGGAAUUUUAAGAAAUUAUGUGUAAACGAGAGAGAGGGAGAGACAGAGCACACACAUAUAUAUAUAUAUAUACAUAGAGAGAGAGAGAGAGAGACAAGUGUUCAAAUUGUUUCCUCUAUUUUUGUGUUUUGUGUGGGCUACUUAGACUCUAAGUAACCUUAAGCAAAUUGUGAGGCUCGGGGUACCAAAAAUGUCCCCGAGGGCAAAAUGGUAAAAACUCCUUGAAUUUCCUCCUAAUCUCACUAAUACCGAAUAUAUCCUCAAAUAUUCAUUCCUGUUACCCGAUAAUCUGGUAAUGUACUAGAUACCCGAAAUACCAUUUGACUCAUCCCGAGUCGGGUAUUAGGUCCCGUAGUGACUUUCCCGCUAACUUGCUCCCUAGGAUCGUCUCGUGCCGUGUAACUCAAAUAUAUCCACAUAAUAAUGUGGUCUCACACAUAUAUCACAUAUAUGCCAAAUAUACCCAUAACAGGCUAAAUUACAAAAAUUACCCUUCUAAUAAGAAAUGGGCCCACAUGCAUAUUUAACACAUCUAAACAUGCAUAUCUAGUCAUAUUAUCAUAUAACUCACAUAAUCACAUAAUUACAUGCAUAUAUAUCGUAUAAAUAUAUAAUUUCCAUAAAUUUCCAUCCUUGCCCCUAAUCAAGUCCCUAAGCCUUAUUAGGUAAUUUGGGACGUUACAAACACAAUCUUCCUCACCAAGUCUUUGAUCAACCUAGAACUAGUGUGGGCUGGUUCUCAAUACAUGAGAUAGAGAUCUAGAAGAGAAGAAAAUAGAGUGGCUAGGAGAGUGUAGUUCUAAAUUUUUCUAUGAUUGAGCACUAACCCAAACUUGUUCUUUGUCAACUGUCCCUUAUGAAACCCCUAGCUAUAACACUCUAUUUAUAGACAUAUCCAUAUUCUUAAUUAAAUUAAUUAAAAAAUAAAAUGUAAAUAUAGCCAUAUCAUGGCUGGCCCACACCAUAUGGGUUGGGCUCACGAUAAGUGCCUUAAAUUUUAGGCUAAAUGGA
Humulus lupulus (European hop) is the source of this 15842-nucleotide long non-coding RNA. RefSeq lists it as uncharacterized. The record is from RefSeq and is a predicted model, not a curated record. Lineage: Eukaryota; Viridiplantae; Streptophyta; Magnoliopsida; Rosales; Cannabaceae. The transcript is spliced from 5 exons.